This 243-nucleotide ribosomal RNA is filed under the name uncultured bacterium. RNAcentral describes it as "partial 16S ribosomal RNA". It matches the Rfam family "Bacterial small subunit ribosomal RNA", at positions 110 to 354 of the family's 1533-position model. The record is from RNAcentral.
UAAACGCGUGAGGAACCUGCCUUGGAUGGGGAUAACAGCCNGAAAUGGCUGCUAAUACCGCAUAAUGCAGUUGGGUCGCAUGGCUCUGACUGCCAAAGAUUUAUCGCUCUAAGAUGGCCUCGCGUCUGAUUAGUUUGUUGGCGGGGUAACGGCCCACCAAGACGACGAUCAGUAGCCGGACUGAGAGGUUGGCCGGCCACAUUGGGACUGAGACACGGCCCAGACUCCUACGGAAGGCAGCAG